RNAcentral lists this long non-coding RNA (861 nucleotides) under Anas platyrhynchos platyrhynchos (common mallard). RNAcentral describes it as "lncRNA (ENSAPLG00000018207.1)". Lineage: Eukaryota; Metazoa; Chordata; Aves; Anseriformes; Anatidae. The record is from RNAcentral.
GGCCAUUCGAUCUCUGCUCUAACAGUUUCAUUUCAGCAUAAAGCCUCCUCUUCAAAUCCUGAGUUUAUUAAUAUUAAUCUUUGUGUAAGAGACUUUGAAAUUGAAUAACACAUGAAACUACACUUUUUUUAAAAACUUUUUUUUUUUUAAAUCUGUGUUCAAGUAAUAACUGGAAACCCUUACAGGCCAAAAUGAUUUUGGUGUGGGUUUAGGGAUUUGUUUGUUUGUUUUCCUACAUAAGACUGCAUUUGAAGCUGUCUUUAGAAUCAACAGCCUGCAGUCACCCGGUACUUUCCAGAGAUUUCACAGAAGAUGAAGAGGGACUAAUUUCUUUCUGUGCUUUCAUGAUCAACUUACUGUGUAGAGGUAUGAAAAGUUAGUGCAGAAAGAUUCUUCAGUCAUCCUCCAGUUAAGAAGCUUAUGAUAAGAAAGUUGGUAUUUUCACCACUGGGAAAAGAUUGCUCAUCUAGGAGAGGAAACUUUCCCGUCAGCAAAGAAAACAUGAGGCCCAGGCUUGAAGUCUGCCAGAAGGCGGCUGAAGUCACAACUGCCACAUACCAGCAUCUCUACAGGCUGCCAAGAGAAGGAUGUUUAAAGAUGAAGUUUUAGGAGAGUACCAUUGGCUCAUCAGGAAGUAAACUGAGAACCCUUUUACCAGGAGCAGGGAGCAUCCUCCUGCAGGAUCACAGCUUGUGUCAAACGGACUAAAACGCAAACCCUGGUCAUCAGCCUUCCCCCUGAGCAAGCAGGAACAGAAGAGCUUCCAGAACACAAAAGCAGUGUUUCAGUUUGAGACACUGUGUAAGAACUUGAACAUCUUUUUUUCUUUCAAAUGAAUAAAUCCUAAUUAAAUUGAAAGCA